CUACGGGUGGCUGCAGUCGAGAAUCUUCCGCAAUGGACGAAAGUCUGACGGAGCGACGCCGCGUGCGGGAUGAAGGCCUUCGGGUUGUAAACCGCUGUCAGUGGGGAGGAAAUGCAUCAGGGUUCUCCCUGGUGUUUGACCGAUCCGCAGAGGAAGCGCAGGCUAAGUUCGUGCCAGCAGCCGCGGUAACACGAACUGCGCGAACGUUAUUCGGAAUCACUGGGCUUAAAGAGUUCGUAGGCGGCCUUUCAAGUCGGGUGUGAAAUCCCUCGGCUCAACCGAGGAAUUGCGCCUGAUACUGGUGGGCUUGAGGGGGAUAGGGGUGAGCGGAACUGAAGGUGGAGCGGUGAAAUGCGUUGAUAUCAUCAGGAACACCGGUGGCGAAGGCGGCUCACUGGAUCUCUUCUGACGCUGAGGAACGAAAGCUAGGGGAGCGAACGGGAUUAGAUACCCGUGUAGUC
This 461-nucleotide ribosomal RNA is filed under the name uncultured bacterium. Its description in RNAcentral is "partial 16S ribosomal RNA". It matches the Rfam family "Bacterial small subunit ribosomal RNA", at positions 339 to 795 of the family's 1533-position model. The record is from RNAcentral.